GAUGAACGCUGGCGGCGUGCUUAACACAUGCAAGUCGAGCGAGUGAGUUCUUCGGAACGAUCUAGCGGCGGACGGGUGAGUAACACGUGGGCAACCUGCCUCAUAGAGGGGAAUAGCCUCCCGAAAGGGAGAUUAAUACCGCAUAUAAUUAUCGAGUGGCAUCACAUGAUAAUCAAAGGAGUAAUUCGCUAUGAGAUGGGCCCGCGGCGCAUUAGCUAGUUGGUGAGGUAACGGCUCACCAAGGCGACAAUGCGUAGCCGACCUGAGAGGGUGAUCGGCCACAUUGGGACUGAGACACGGCCCAGACUCCUACGGGAGGCAGCAGUGGGGAAUAUUGCACAAUGGGGGAAACCCUGAUGCAGCAACGCCGCGUGAGUGAUGAAGGUCUUCGGAUUGUAAAGCUCUGUCUUUGGGGACGAUAAUGACGGUACCCAAGGAGGAAGCCACGGCUAACUACGUGCCAGCCGCCGCAGUAA
RNAcentral lists this ribosomal RNA (476 nucleotides) under uncultured bacterium. RNAcentral describes it as "partial 16S ribosomal RNA". It matches the Rfam family "Bacterial small subunit ribosomal RNA", at positions 28 to 523 of the family's 1533-position model. The record is from RNAcentral.